Molecule: non-coding RNA, 31 nt
Filed under: Mus musculus (house mouse)
Lineage: Eukaryota; Metazoa; Chordata; Mammalia; Rodentia; Muridae
Source: RNAcentral
UGGCGAAGCUGACGUUUACAGAAUCGCAUAU